GCCCCAGGCUUUGGGAUAACCCCGGGAAACCGGGGCUAAUACCGAAUAUGACCUUGCACCGCAUGGUGUUUGGUGGAAAGUUUUUCGGCUUGGGAUGGGCUCGCGGCCUAUCAGCUUGUUGGUGGGGUGAUGGCCUACCAAGGCGACGACGGGUAGCCGGCCUGAGAGGGCGACCGGCCACACUGGGACUGAGACACGGCCCAGACUCCUACGGGAGGCAGCAGUGGGGAAUAUUGCACAAUGGGCGGAAGCCUGAUGCAGCGACGCCGCGUGAGGGAUGACGGCCUUCGGGUUGUAAACCUCUUUCAGCAGGGACGAAGCGUAAGUGACGGUACCUGCAGAAGAAGCGCCGGCCAACUACGUGCCAGCAGCCGCGGUAAGACGUAGGGCGCGAGCGUUGUCCGGAUUUAUUGGGCGUAAAGAGCUCGUAGGCGGCUUGUCGCGUCGACUGUGAAAACCCGCAGCUCAACUGCGGGCCUGCAGUCGAUACGGGCAGGCUAGAGUUCGGUAGGGGAGACUGGAAUUCCUGGUGUAGCGGUGAAAUGCGCAGAUAUCAGGAGGAACACCGGUGGCGAAGGCGGGUCUCUGGGCCGAUACUGACGCUGAGGAGCGAAAGCGUGGGGAGCGAACAGGAUUAGAUACCCUGGUAGUCCACGCUGUAAACGUUGGGCGCUAGGUGUGGGGGGCCUCUCCGGUUCCCUGUGCCGCAGCUAACGCAUUAAGCGCCCCGCCUGGGGAGUACGGCCGCAAGGCUAAAACUCAAAG
Molecule: ribosomal RNA, 765 nt
Filed under: Micromonospora tulbaghiae
Lineage: Bacteria; Bacillati; Actinomycetota; Actinomycetes; Micromonosporales; Micromonosporaceae
Description: bacterial SSU rRNA
Rfam family: Bacterial small subunit ribosomal RNA
Source: RNAcentral